Molecule: ribosomal RNA, 301 nt
Filed under: uncultured bacterium
Lineage: Bacteria
Description: partial 16S ribosomal RNA
Rfam family: Bacterial small subunit ribosomal RNA
Source: RNAcentral
CAGUCGCCGCGGUAAUACGGAGGGUGCAAGCGUUAAUCGGAAUUACUGGGCGUAAAGCGUGCGUAGGCGGUUUGUUAAGUCUGCUGUGAAAUCCCCGGGCUCAACCUGGGAAUGGCAGUGGAUACUGGCAAGCUAGAGUGUGUCAGAGGAUGGUGGAAUUCCCGGUGUAGCGGUGAAAUGCGUAGAGAUCGGGAGGAACAUCAGUGGCGAAGGCGGCCAUCUGGGACAACACUGACGCUGAGGCACGAAAGCGUGGGGAGCAAACAGGAUUAGAGACCCCGGUAGUCCCUGUCUCUUAUAC